This is a non-coding RNA of Lactuca sativa (garden lettuce), 1131 nucleotides long. NCBI's taxonomy places the organism in Eukaryota, Viridiplantae, Streptophyta, Magnoliopsida, Asterales, Asteraceae. The record is from RefSeq and is a predicted model, not a curated record.
UCUUCUAAAAUUUUUGGUUUUUAUAUAAUUUUGCAGAAUUAAAAACUAAAUAACUGAUUUCCCAACAUCUCCCGCACAAAUACAAAAAUGAUAUUUAGUUUUUGUGGUGCUUCAAAAUGUUUGACUAAGUAUCUUUGAUUGAACUAUAAUUAUGUUGAGAAUUCAAAUUUGUGGUGCUUGAAAAUGUAACCAUCUUUGAUAAAAAUGGUUGAAAAUACUAAAAGUGGAACUGGGCUCUUGAUUUUUUAUCUUUGUAAAUAAUCUACUCUUUUGAAUCUUUGCAUAAUGCAUUAAGGAAUAAUGUUUGUAAUUCUGUCACAGGUUUUUGCAAAUAUGGGUGUUACACUAGAUGGAGUCAACAAGUCCAUACUAGACUCAUUUUAUCAAAGUUAUCCAGAUUUGUUGGAGAUUUUGGCUUUCAACCUCUUAAACUUCAAGUGAAUCCUGAUGCUGCUAGAGAAAUUAUAGAGCACUAAGGAAAAAUAGAAGGGUAAAAUUGUGAAUCUGAUUCAAAUGGAAGAUGUUUAUGUACCUAGCUCCAUUGUACAAAUUUUACAACCACCACCACUCUAGUGGUUAUCAAUGUUCCAGUAGGACUAAGGGGGAAAAUAUUAUAUUUUGGCCUGAGGUCGAGCAACAAAAAAAUGGAAUUGCUUCGGAAGGGUAUUAAAAGUUGUUACUAGUAUUUCUUUAUUAAAGACCACCAUCAAAUUUAUAUCUUUUGGCUGCAGACUGAGGUUCAAAUACUUUCGAUUGAAGAGAAAAGAUUGGACGAAAGCAUCACAUCAUUUGAUUCAACAUUAUUUUUGAUGUUUUUUACUGUUAAUAUAUAUGAUUAAACUUCUAAUGUUUGUGUUUUUCCUGACUUUUCCAUAAUGGAAUGUUCACUUCUAUUCCAUUCUUUUUAGGAAUUAAUACACUUGGAUAAAACCAUUUGGUGUUAAAAGCACAGGAGUAUCCAUAUUUAGCAAAGUCUGAUACAUUCCCAAGUAAUUAAAGGUUGUAUUUAAGGAGAAAAUUUUAAUUACGUGUUAAAUGACUUGGUGUCCAUAUUUGUAGCUUGUAUAAGCUGCUGAUUCGUAAAAGUCUGGAGUUUUGUGGCUUGCAUAGUAAUGUAACCCAAAGAAACAA